Numida meleagris (helmeted guineafowl) is the source of this 1976-nucleotide long non-coding RNA. RefSeq lists it as uncharacterized. The transcript has 4 exons. The record is from RefSeq and is a predicted model, not a curated record. NCBI's taxonomy places the organism in Eukaryota, Metazoa, Chordata, Aves, Galliformes, Numididae.
CAUUUGACAGAGUUGGACACAUUGUCACCAACUACCAGGCCGCUGGAUGCAGCUGCACUGCCAGCAUCAUUAUUUGGUGGCAUUGCCCAUGAGAGAUCCUUGUCCUUUUUGCUUCCAGAUGCAGUUUCAGACAGUGCCAUCCAUAUGUAGGUAUAUCUUGUAUCAGACAUAGAUCAACAACACUCAGAUUAAUAAUAUAAAUCUUAAUCUAAGGUCAUGACUGCUAUUUGUAAAAUGAAACCCUGAAUGCGAAAUGGUUUACAUGGAGGUCAUGAAGGCAUCUAAUUGCUUGCAACAGCAUGCUUUAUAGAUUAAAAUAGAAAAUCAGUAAAGAGUCACAAUGUGAAAUAAAGAUAGCAGUAUCUCAUGCAGGAACAUCCUGUGUUUUGCUAAAGGGACACUGCAAUUUUAUGUUAGAAACAUUGAAUCAUUUGUUUGGAAGGGACUUUUAAAGGUCACCUAGUCCUACUCCCCUGCAAUGAACAGGGACAUCUACGGCUAGAUUGUUGGCUGAGCCCCGUCAUUUACAGGUAGGUAAGCAAGCUUUAAGAAAUUCAUGCUGUAUUGCUCAUACUCUGUGCACAGGUCUCAUACAAUGUACGAGAUUUCUUUCUGUUCCGCUUGCUUAGAGGAGGAAAGAAUUCAGCUUCCUUAUUUGUAAAUAGUUUCCACAGGGAGAAAAACUAUUCACCUUCAAGUUUCCCAGUGGAUAAGUUGUGCAAAAUGAAUGCGACUUACAAGCUCAGUUUUAAAGAACAGAUCAUCAGGAAAACAAAAGAGGAUUUUCCUUUGCUCGGGGGAGAGUUAUUAAAUGGAAUAAGACAUUGAGAGGAAAGAUAAGAACAGUCAGCAGAAAUCGUUUCAAAAUAGAAAGAGUUUAGAAGAAAAAAUGUGGAGUGUAAAAGCUAGCUACAGUUACAGAUGGCUAUCUCCUUUCUUGUGUUAUUGUGUCCCCUGUACUACAUUCAAAACACCAAAUGUAUUUUUCCUCUAGCACACAUAUGUAUUAAAUCAAAUUGGAAGCAUAUUUUAGGAAAGAAUUAAGUUUUCCAGUAUAAUAGUUAACAGGCUAAAAUCUAUUUAUUUCUUCACAUAAAUAGUUGUAUUGUCUUCAGUAAGGAUUAUCACAGAUCCAGCUGCUAUUAGAUCAUUUUAUUCAGGCUAUACACAUUCUGGAGUCCCUUGUAGUUGUUAUGAAAUUUAGCCAUAAACUGUUGCUGAACUAUAUAAAAAUCUUUCAUCUCUUUAAAAAGAUUGGGCUGGCAAGCUUGCUUUACAUCCCAGCCUUCAAAGUUCAUUUAUAUUAACUGUCUCAAGAUUAAGUUAGUCAUGAAUACGUUUCUAAUGUAAGUGUUCUAAUGUAAGUCCUCUCUCAGAGGACAACGGGAUGAAUUCCAUGUGGAUGUAAAAAAAGAUGCUUGACGUAAGCCAUGGAGGGAAUUUCUUUAACAAGACAAAAGAAUAAGUGCUCAUGGGUUUUCUGCAUUUUGCUUCAGAAAAAAAAGAAAGAAGAAAAAUCAAAAACAAGUUACUUUUCUAAUCCCAAAAAUUGAGGAUGAAAAAUAAAAAGCUGAGAAGCAAAAUAAAAGCCUUCCCUUUACCUGUAACUACCUUAAUUGAUAAAGUUACCACUAGUACUUUUGUUAAACACUCUAAUUGAGAGCUCAGUAACUCUGACAGGCCAGAUGUCUGUAACGCCUUCUACUUUUCAAUAACAAGAACCUGUGAAGUCAAAUUGAAGCUAAAGUGCACACGGGCAGAAGUCUGGCUUCAGCCUUGGAAGAGGCUGGGAUAACUCCAACAUAAAGGAAAUAAAAGGGUUGGAAAGAAGUAAAGGAAAAAGAAAGAAGAGAGGAAUUAUCACAGAAAAUACCUGGUGGACAAAAAGAUCUGGGCGAGAGAGAAAUGCAGAUGACAAGUUACUGGACUUCCUUUUGCUAAGAAAGAAAAAUAUGAAGUUUCAGGGGAAAAAAAAA